Molecule: long non-coding RNA, 2652 nt
Filed under: Marmota monax (woodchuck)
Lineage: Eukaryota; Metazoa; Chordata; Mammalia; Rodentia; Sciuridae
Source: RNAcentral
GGGAGAGGAUGACCUACAAAGGGACAGAUUUGGGAUGCCAUGGAGGGGCCUGGCAGUUUAUAAAUCAAAUCCUGGUUGGGCACAGGAUUGCAUGCCUGUAAUCCCAGUGCCUAGGAGGCUGAGGCAGGAGGAUCACAAGUUCAAAGGCAGCCUCAGCAAUGGUGAGGCACUAAGCAACUCAGUGAGACCCUGUCUCUAAAUAAAAUACAAAAUAGAGCUGGGUAUGUGGCUCCAUGUUCGAGUGUCCCUGAGUUCAAUCCUUGGUAUCCCUCCCAAAAGAAGUCAAAUCUUGAUUGUAAAAGUUGACACUCUGAAGGGAGAACACCUUGCUUGGUUGUUGGCAUUAAUGGGACGCUUUUCUCCAUUAUCAAUUGUUCACUCUGCACAAGCAAUUUCCUGCCAUUUUGCCAGCUAUGAUUGCCACUACAUCCAUGUGAAGGGCACCAGUCAAGAAAACAUUAAAGAAGAAAUUAUAGAACAAAUUAAUCAAUUCUACAGUGUGGAAAUCAGCAUAGACUAGUAGGUACACUUGCAUGAAAUAACCAAGUAGAGAUGACUGAGGUUUCUUGUCUUCACAUGUUUAAUUAAUCCCUAAUUUAAUUUGAAAUGAAAGACUGGGGGAAUUCUGAAUACAAAGGAGCAAACAUAUAGAUUUGGGACUUCGAUGAAGGAUCACUAGUGCUUAUGGAUGAGGGGCAUUACACAGUGUUUCAUGUGCUUUCUAAUUGAUACACAUCACUUGGAAAGUAUUUGUUUUUUCGUAGUGGAUCAAUGAUGCUGAUGAGUAAUAGACAAAUUAUCAAUCGGGGCAAUUUAAUAAACAUCUUUACUUUUUAUAAAACACACAUUUUAGGCCCUGAAUCAAGAAACUCUUCCUAUUUAUUUUAUUGGUAUGAGAUAAUGAUAAUGCAGGCAUGCCCCUUCCUGCAAGAGACUGAGAGUGAUGAUGACUCUGGGUCAUCCAGGAUGUUGUAAGGGAUGCCACAUAGCCACUGGGAACCUUCAAAAUAGCUUUCCAGAGUGGAGAAUCUUGCUUCUCCCUUUAGAACCUACAAAUGCGUCCCCUGUCUGAAAAUGCUCCAUGUUUGUGGAUUCAACCAACUGAAAUAUUGGAAAAUAUUUAAAUAUUUUAAUAUUUCAAAAAAUUAUAUCUGUACAGAACAUGUACAGGCAUUUUUUUCUUAUUAUUAUUUCCUAAAUAAUACAGCUUAACAAUUACAUAGCAUUUAUAUUGUACCAGGUACUAUAAGUAAUUUAGAGGUGAUUUGAAGCAUCUGGGAGGAGGUACAGAGGUUAUUUUAUUAAAGGGACUUGAGUAUUCAUGGACUUUGGUAUCUAAUGGGGGAUCUUCAACUGUACAUUAGUUUGUGAGGUUGUGCUGAAUAAACACAUUCCAUAUUUAUUUUAAUUACUCUGUAAGUUAGAAUUUAUGGGCACAUUUAGAAUAACAAUAGAAUAAUCAAUAACAAUAGAAUAAUCAAAUAACAAUGCCAAACUAUAUAAUUCUAAGGUAUAAAACAAUUCCAUUUCCCCUUUCUCAUUUUUUUUCACCAGAACCCAGUAGAAUAGUCUGUAUAGCCCCUGCUAUAAAGGAGGAAUUAGAGUCCCAGAGAUUGGUCUAAGUUACAGAGCUACAUUUCAGAGUCAAGCCUAUUCAGAAAUCAUUCUUUCCACCAUACCCUGCUGUUUGAUCAAAAAUAAACAACACAUAAGGUAAUCUAAAUUGUUUUAUUAAUAAUGGUGCAGGGUGUGUUGUGGCCUGUCUGUAAUCAUAGCUUGGCUGAGGCAAGAGGAUUGCAAGUGAGGCCAGCCUCAGCAACUUAGCAAGAAACCGAAAAUACAAAAUAAAAAGGGCUCAGAUGUAGAUUAGUGGAGAGUGCCCCUGGGUUCCAUCUCUAGUAAAAUACCAGGGGGGAAAAAAAAGAUAAAACUAAGUAAACCAGUACCAAAUGGCACCACUUUCACUAGUAUGAUCUUAUCAGAGUUGCACCCUCAAAGUGGUUCAAGCAAGUAAAGAUAAACAGAGAGAAGGACAGUGAACUGUUGUGACUUAGCAUCACCCCCACCCCCCAAAUGUGUUCAGAGACGCUGAUAGUUGGGAAUCCAUUGGCUCUGUGCAGGUAGGUCUGUUUUUCAAAUGUUGGCAAGAGAAUUAUUUGGAUUUCAAAACUUGUUUUAUUUACUAAUCAAAAUAAUUAUCAUAGCAUUUUUUCCCUAUUUAACCAUUUGUAGAGGCUAGAAUUCUCUUGUCUUUGUCGGGAAAAGACCACCGUGUUCCAUACACUCAUUCUGUUUGGUAUUGUUUCCAGGAUACUUGUAUUUUUUGAGCUGAACUUGUGAAAUGAGAAAGAAUUAAUCUUUGAAACAGCCCUUAAGUAUAACUAUUUUAAAGGAAAUCAGAAGAAACAAGGAAUCCUAGGAAAAAAAGUUUUCUGACUGGAAUGACAUAAUUUUUCCUAUUAUUUUCAAAAUCGAGAAACAUUGGGCACUUCAUUGUAUGAAGUUAAUUUUGCAGUAUUUGAAAGGAUAUAAAAACAGUAAAAAUGAAAUAUUACUCUUUUUGGAAAACUGAUUUGGGUUUAUAACUAAUAAACAUGGCAUAUGAUUUAAGUAUGUUCAGUCAGUUCCUUUCAUUGAAUUCGCUCUUUAUUC